AAGAGGUAGCAAUACCUUUGUCGGCGACCGGCGCACGGGUGAGUAACACGUAUGCAAUCCACCUGUAACAGGGGGAUAACCCGGAGAAAUCCGGACUAAUACCCCAUAAUAUGGACACUCCGCAUGGAGAGUUCAUUAAAGAGAGCAAUUUUGGUUACAGACGAGCAUGCGCUCCAUUAGCCAGUUGGCGGGGUAACGGCCCACCAAGGCGACGAUCAGUAGCCGGACUGAGAGGUUGACCGGCCACAUUGGGACUGAGAUACGGCCCAGACUCC
This 275-nucleotide ribosomal RNA is filed under the name uncultured bacterium. Its description in RNAcentral is "partial 16S ribosomal RNA". It matches the Rfam family "Bacterial small subunit ribosomal RNA", at positions 71 to 339 of the family's 1533-position model. The record is from RNAcentral.